RNAcentral lists this long non-coding RNA (407 nucleotides) under Pongo abelii (Sumatran orangutan). RNAcentral describes it as "lincRNA". Lineage: Eukaryota; Metazoa; Chordata; Mammalia; Primates; Hominidae. The record is from RNAcentral.
GGGUCUACAGUCACACAGCCAACUUGUGCUUGUGGCAGUGGCAAGGUUGGUGAGUAUCUGAGUCUUCAGGCCAUGGUGUUUUCCCCUCGAGUGGAGCCUGCCUCAGCCUGUUCCUUUAACAUCAGCUUCUGAAACUAUCUCUGCAGAAGUUCUGAGGGUACCCCUCACUCAAGCUCCAGGCGUCAGGAAAAGAACAUUCCACGAGUCCAUCUAGAAGACGGUCCUUUCCCUGGUGCCGCCGGCUUCUAGAACAUUCCCUGGAACACAGCAAGUGUUCAGUUAUUGUUCAUGGAGUGACAGAUGUCUCAGCCAAGAAGGUACAAUCACAGGGAAGAAUGACUUCAAUUGGUCUUGACUUCAACCUGCUUCCAGCCUGGUUCCCUUCUCCCACCUCCCUACAGCCCACA